Molecule: unclassified non-coding RNA, 413 nt
Filed under: soil metagenome
Description: partial contains 5.8S ribosomal RNA, internal transcribed spacer 2, and large subunit ribosomal RNA
Rfam family: 5.8S ribosomal RNA (bases 1-120)
Source: RNAcentral
GAUGAAGAACGCAGCGAAAUGCGAUAAGUAAUGUGAAUUGCAGAAUUCAGUGAAUCAUCGAAUCUUUGAACGCACCUUGCGCUCUUUGGUAUUCCGAAGAGCAUGCCUGUUUGAGUGUCAUGAAUAUAUCAACCUUGACUUGGGUUUUGUGCUCUAGUCUCGGCUUGGAAUUGGGUGCUUGCCGCUUUUACGAGCGGCUCACCUUAAAUGUAUUAGCUGGAUCUGUCUUUGAGACUUGGUUUGACUUGGCGUAAUAAGUAUUUCGCUAAGGACAUUCUUCGGAGUGGCCUCGUUUCUAGGACGCUUGUCCGCUUUCCAAUACAAGUUCCACCUCGUGGACAUGACUUUUUAUUAUCUGGCCUCAAAUCAGGUAGGACUACCCGCUGAACUUAAGCAUAUCAAUAAGCGGAGGA